Molecule: transfer RNA, 72 nt
Filed under: Ovis aries (sheep)
Lineage: Eukaryota; Metazoa; Chordata; Mammalia; Artiodactyla; Bovidae
Rfam family: tRNA
About the family: Transfer RNA (tRNA) molecules are approximately 80 nucleotides in length. Their secondary structure includes four short double-helical elements and three loops (D, anti-codon, and T loops). Further hydrogen bonds mediate the characteristic L-shaped molecular structure. tRNAs have two regions of fundamental functional importance: the anti-codon, which is responsible for specific mRNA codon recognition, and the 3' end, to which the tRNAs corresponding amino acid is attached (by aminoacyl-tRNA synthetases). tRNAs cope with the degeneracy of the genetic code in two manners: having more than one tRNA (with a specific anti-codon) for a particular amino acid; and 'wobble' base-pairing, i.e. permitting non-standard base-pairing at the 3rd anti-codon position.
Source: Rfam by way of RNAcentral
UCCCUGGUGGCUCAGCUGGUAGAGAAUCUGCCUGCAAUGCAGGAAACUUGGGUUCAAUCCCUGGGUUGGGAA